Long non-coding RNA from Mytilus californianus (California mussel), 691 nucleotides. RefSeq lists it as uncharacterized. NCBI's taxonomy places the organism in Eukaryota, Metazoa, Mollusca, Bivalvia, Mytilida, Mytilidae. The record is from RefSeq and is a predicted model, not a curated record. The transcript has 3 exons.
UCUUGCGAUUGGAAAAAUUCCUCCGCCAGUUUAUUUUUUGAUACUCAGUUUUUAUCAUUCCAUAUUGGUGUAAAAGGUAGUCAAAAUUUGGUUAUGUUUUUACGAUACGGAUGUAAGUGUCCAUAAAACUAAGCACAGCAACUUUAAAAGACAAAAGACAGAUAAUGGAAACCAUCACAGCGGUUAGAAGAAGUCUGACAAUGAAAUCACUUACAGUCGUUGAUAAAAUCACAUACUCCAUAAUAGAACAAGAAAAAGAUUUUAAAAUGAAUUCGAAUGAAAACAAAGAAGAACAAAAUGACAUUUGCAAACUCUUUGAAACGACAGCAAAGUUUGUUAAGUGGAACGAAGAAAGGGACGACGAACUUUGGAAAAAUGCUAAAAUAACUAUUUAUGAUUCUUGCGAUCAUGAAUACGUCAUCAGAAGUGGAAACGGAAAAUCCAAAUUCCUUGUCAACAGCGAGGGAAAUGAUAUCCAUAUUUUACCCUUGGAAACAACAAAGUCGUCCAGCCAACAACAUUUUUGUAGUUUAAUGUAAUAUGGUAAUGGUGUAAAAUCUUGCGGAUGACUCUAUUUCUAGCUGUGUGUUUUAUAACUUCUUUUUUUAACAAUUCCGGAUACCUUCCUUGACAAUUUGAUAAGACCAUGUUCUUUAUAGAAUAGUAUAUUAAUACACUAAUAAAACAGUAA